Long non-coding RNA from Gorilla gorilla gorilla (western lowland gorilla), 1291 nucleotides. RefSeq lists it as uncharacterized. The transcript is spliced from 2 exons. Lineage: Eukaryota; Metazoa; Chordata; Mammalia; Primates; Hominidae. The record is from RefSeq and is a predicted model, not a curated record.
CUGAGGGUUAAAAAAAGUUGUGUAUGUUUCAAUUCUACCAAAUAUUACCUGCUUACUCUUUGCUUAAUUGAGCCUCUCUAAAAAUCAUUUGGAUCAUGUUUGUUUGUUCGUUUGUUUGUUUUAACAGAAAGAAUGCAAUGAAGAUUGUAACUUCAAAGAACUAAUUCUGGAAAACCAUUACAACACAUAUGCAGCAGCUAAAUGGACACACAACGGAGGGGAAAUGUUUGUGGCCUUAAAUCAAAAGGGGAUUCCUGUAAGAGGGAAAAAAACAAAGAAAGAACAAAAAACAGCCCACUUUCUUCCUAUGGCAAUAACUUAAUUGCAUAUGUAAUCAAGAAAGGCUGGAAAACUACUGAAAAACUGAUCAAGCUGGACUUGCGCAUUUAUGUUUGUUUUAAGACACUGCAUUAAAGAGAGAUUUGAAAAGUAUACACAAAAAUCAGAUUUAGUAACUAAAGGUUGUACAAAAUUGUAAAACUGGUUGUACAAUCAUGAUGUUAGUAAUAGUAAUUUUUUUCUUAAAUUAAUUUACCCUUAAGAGUAUGUUAGAUUUGAUUACCUGAUAAUGAUUAUUUAAAUAUUCCUAUCUGCUUAUAAAAUGGCUGCUAUAAUAAUAAUAAUGCAGAUUAUGUUAUAUAAGGUAUAUCAGACCUACAGGCUGCUGGCAGGAUUUGUCAGAUAAUCAAGCCACACUAACUAUGGAAAAUGAGCAGCAUUUUAAAUGCUUUCUAGUGAAAAAUUAUAAUCUACUUAAACUCUAAUCAGAAGAAAAGAAUAUUCUCAAAAAAAUCUAUUAUGAAAGUCAAUAAAAUAGAUAAUUUAACAAAAGUACAGGAUUAGAACAUGCUUAUACCUAUUAACAAGAAGAAAAUUUCUAAUGCUGCUCAAGUGGAAAGGGUAUUGCUAAAAGGAUGUUUCCAAAAAUCUUGUACAUAAGAUAGCAACAGUGAUUGAUGAGAUUGAUGAAAAUACAGUACUUCAUCUUACUUGCCACUGAAUAACAUUUUAUAAUUCCUCAAAGUAAAAUUGAGAAAUCUUUAAGUUUUUUUCAAGUAACAUAAUCUAUCUUUGUAUAAUUCACAUUUGGGAAUAUGGCUUUUAAUAAUGUUCUUCCCACAAAUAAUCACACUUUUUUCCUAUGGUUACAACAUUAAACUCUAUAUUGAGUUGUUUUUGAACUUACUGUUUUGUUAUUUAUGUUAUUUAUAAAAAAAACCUUAAUAAGCUGUAUCUGUUUCAUAUGCUUUUAAUUUUAAAGGAAUAACAAAACUGUCUGGCUCAACUGCAA